This is a long non-coding RNA of Arachis stenosperma, 234 nucleotides long. RefSeq lists it as uncharacterized. NCBI's taxonomy places the organism in Eukaryota, Viridiplantae, Streptophyta, Magnoliopsida, Fabales, Fabaceae. The transcript has 4 exons. The record is from RefSeq and is a predicted model, not a curated record.
GUUUGGACUGGUUGCAUUGUUGCAGACUGCUAAUGCUGAUCUUGACAAAUCUCUUGCAGCAGUGCAGUGAAACCUUGAAAUAGAGGUUAAACUAGUGGCUGAACUAAGACAGCAAAUUGCAUUUAAAGAGUCGGUUCAUGAAGAGCUCAAAAGGAGCACGAGCAAUCUUCAUCAAGCUGUAGCUUCACAAAAUCAAAUGUCUUCAAAAGGAGUUGAGUUUUGAAAGAAAAAUUC